This is a long non-coding RNA of Uranotaenia lowii, 620 nucleotides long. RefSeq lists it as uncharacterized. The record is from RefSeq and is a predicted model, not a curated record. Lineage: Eukaryota; Metazoa; Arthropoda; Insecta; Diptera; Culicidae. The transcript has 3 exons.
UCAAUUUUUCGUGUAGAGAUUUUGUUUUUAAUUCGCGCCAUUUUUGAAAAUAAAUAAACAACUGCGGUAAUUUUUCUCUGCAGGCAAGAGGACCUAUUUAGGAUGGUGCCCUUCCACGGCUCCGGCUACAAGCAAUUGCUUGUGCUAAUGGGAAAAUCACCACCCGAUCGGCGGAAAUUGCAGUGGAAAACAAGACGUCGGAAAGGUGCUGUGACCCUCAAUACACGAGGAGUAGGAUCACCGGAAAAUGAUCCGCAACAAGCGGUUGAUAUCGCGGAGUCUGGGAGGAUCUGUCCUGGCGAAUUUGGUGUAUGAUAAGCAGCUUCCGGACCAUCAUGACGUCCACGAAUUUUGGCAUAACGCUAAACUCGCAGCAGGUCGGUUGGAGCUGCUCUCAAAGCCAAUCGGGAAACCAUCAGCUACCCGAGACUGUCGUCAUGAACGAGCUUAAGCCUCGGGAGUUGGCCUAAAAAAAAAGCUACCGCAGGCGUAGCCCGGAUUCCGAUCGAGGUGCAGGCUUUUCUGAAAUUGUGAAAAGAAGUUUUUAAGUGAAUAUUGUGAAAAUUUGUUAAAGGAAAAAUAAUGUGAAAAUGAAAGUGCUUUACAACAUUAAUAAAAUG